RNAcentral lists this ribosomal RNA (253 nucleotides) under uncultured bacterium. RNAcentral's name for it is "partial 16S ribosomal RNA". It matches the Rfam family "Bacterial small subunit ribosomal RNA", at positions 524 to 776 of the family's 1533-position model. The record is from RNAcentral.
UACGUAGGUGGCAAGCGUUGUCCGGAUUUAUUGGGUUUAAAGGGUGCGUAGACGGUCUAUUAAGUCAGUUGUGAAAUACGGCAGCUCAACUGUCGAGGUGCAAUUGAUACUGAUGGACUUGAGUACUGAUGAGGUAAGCGGAAUGGACGGUGUAGCGGUGAAAUGCUUAGAUAUCGUCCAGAACACCGAUAGCGAAGGCAGCUUACUAAGGAGUAACUGACGCUGAGGCACGAAAGUGUGGGGAUCAAACAGG